AUCUAGGGCUUUUGGACGACUGCUCAGGAGACAAAGGUCAAAGUGUGCUCAGCUCAAUUGUCUGUAUUCAAGCGCUGACAAGACAGAACAGGCCUCCAGCACGCAGGCUUCUGGCAGAGCAUCAGGCUGGGUGCUUCCUUCUCCUAAAAAGGCCAUAGCACACAUCCCCGGGCCAAGUUAAUUUUCUGGAUGGGAAGGAGCGACUAACAGCUGCCUUCUCUGACCAAGUCAAAAACCUCCUUGUGAUGGGGACUGGCUGAGUGGAGGCUUUCCCAUGUUCUGAGACAGGAGCGAAGGAAGAGCGAGCCAGAUGACACUGGGCAGAGAGGCAGAGAAAUGAGCCAGCAACAUGCCAGGAUGUUCCAUAUGCAUAAAUUGAAUCAGUGAAACACCGGACAGCCACAGGUUGUGGGGACCUGUUGGCCCUUGGAAGGAAGGAAGGAAGAGUGAGUACGACAUAAAGGAAGGGUGAAGGUCCUGGCCCCUUGGUCCGUGCUCUCACCCAGUUCCAACUGAUGUUUUCAGACAUUGAGGAGGCCAUCUGUAGUCUCCACUCAGGCCUCACGGUCCCAUCAAGAACCCAGUGUAGACAUGUGGAUCCCAAGCUACAAGCCAUGCCUCCGAUAUUAAGAGGUGCUGCAGACAGCACAGCUGGAGGAGGAGAACCACAUCUAAGUGUUCUGACGUCAGACACGAAGCUACAGGAGUCACAGUUUGCUCUGUUGGGUUUCAGUCUUGUUUGAUCUGGAAUUUCCUUGCUGACCCCCCC
This is a long non-coding RNA of Mus musculus (house mouse), 769 nucleotides long. RefSeq annotates it as predicted gene, 31190. Lineage: Eukaryota; Metazoa; Chordata; Mammalia; Rodentia; Muridae. The record is from RefSeq and is a predicted model, not a curated record. The transcript has 4 exons.